Molecule: transfer RNA, 71 nt
Filed under: Wadicosa fidelis
Lineage: Eukaryota; Metazoa; Arthropoda; Arachnida; Araneae; Lycosidae
Description: tRNA-Pro
Source: RNAcentral
GUUCUAAAUAAUUUAUAUAAAAUAUCUACUUUGGAUGUAGAAUAAUUCAAACAUUUCAAUCACCUUAAUAA